Molecule: long non-coding RNA, 2171 nt
Organism: Passer domesticus (house sparrow)
Lineage: Eukaryota; Metazoa; Chordata; Aves; Passeriformes; Passeridae
Exons: 3
Source: RefSeq, a predicted model, not a curated record
CCGAGCCAAGGACUGGAGCCAGAGAGACACCUGAUGAGUCACUCCAAGAUAAAGGAAGAGUGUGGCAAGAAGUAGAAAGCAGCAAAGAAAUCUCAGCCUGAAUGUCUCAGUCCUGGGCUCCCUGUGUGGUUUGGCCCAUAUUCCUCACAUUCAGACUUCCUUUUCCUUGGGCUCCUGCACAUUUCAGCCAAUGCCAGGGCUCAAAGAAUUUCCUUACUGAUGCUCACACCUCACUCCUGGCAUUGCCCUUCUUUCCCACAAGAAAGAAAGAUCCUCAAAAGAUCCACAAUAUCCUCAAAAUAAAUUAAUCUACAAGGAUUAAUUAAUUUUCACACCUGAAAAAAAAGGUCUUGGAUAUUUUGUGGCUGGAACUGCAGUUGAUGUCAAUGAAUUAACUCUGUUGUGGGACUUCCAGGGUAUCUGUGAAAGGGAGAUGCCAGAAUUGGCCAGGGAUGGUUGUAACAGUCAGAGCUGGUGUGGUAAAUCCUGUCCUGUCUGCCCCUGUGCCAGGGGAUGUUCCACUCUGUCACUGAGACAGGUUAUUUCACUGAUUUUUGUCAUAUGUUUGCACUUAUUGUGCUAUUUUUUCAUCCUCCUAGACAGAUUUAAACUAAUAACAGCAGCUACUUGACAUGUAAUUAAUGCUAAUAACAGCUGAAAUUAUGCAAGCUUGAGUGCUUUGGUCUUUGAAACACAAAUUGUGAUAUUUACACUUUCUCUUUUGGCAAAAACAUGUGCUUCCCUCGCAGACAAAUGGCUUCACAGGUGAUAAAUGUUUGGGAAAAGUGGAUUUAGCAGCAGGCCUUCAGCGUGCAGAGAAAACUCUGACUUUUUGACAGGGGGAUUCCCUGAUCUUUGAGCACAUUGGUGGGGUGUUUAUUCCUGGGAAGCCAGGAAAUAAAUGAAAAUGAAAGUGAGCUGCUUUGGAUUUAUCUGCUGCUUUGGUUUUAUCCACUGCUUUGGAUUUAUCUGCUGCUCAGCUCUCUCUCAGAGAUGUGGGAUUUUCUUUUUCUGCCAUGUUUGUAGUGAAUUUUCAUUUCUGCUACACUGAAAAACUGGGAGUCAGCAAAAAAAUCACCUGCUUUUGCUCUGCCUUGCCAUUUCCAGCCCACUUUCAGAUACCCCUCUAUAUUCUGGCAGCAUAAUUAAUUCUGUGCUCUUGCUCUGUCUCCUUGAUUAAGUUGAUUCCACCACACUUCUGAUGUGCCUGGAUCAGCAUCCUCAGCUGAAAAUCAGGUCUAAGCAGGACUUGAAGAUAAGAUGCUGAUUUUGGAGGUACAAAAGUGGUCAGAAUUAUUUAGAACUGACACUGUUUUCCAGGAUAUGGCAGCUCGUGCAGUAAAUAGAUGGCAAAGAUGCCCAUGCAGAGCUGGCCUGGGUCCAGGGCUGCACAGGACAAUAUUCAGUGUGCCCAAAUGUCACUUUAAAGCAAAGCUGCCAAGCACAAGACAAGGUCUGAUAUUUUUCUUGCAAUGAAUUUUUCACUGUUGCACUGGAGAGACAGCUGCAGUUUGAUCUGGAGAAGGAGCCUGUGGAGGUCUCAGGAUUUAAUUGUGCAAUUUGAGAAAGAAAAAUGCCCAGACCAGGCAGUCUGAGUGUGCUGGGGCAGAUGAUUUCACUGGAGACAUCCUUUUGUGGCAGCCACAGCAGAUGCCCCUGGGGCAGCACUGGCAGGAGGAAUGUUUUUCUCUAGGCAGCUCUGCCAAGGGGUGGAUUUGCUCUCCAAGCUCUGCUCAGCCUCUCCUUUUAAUGUCCUGAAGCAAACACUGAAUUGAGAAGUUUCACCCCAGAGAAAUGAAAGGAAUGACCUGUGUGGGAAAUGAGUUUGUAGAGAAUUUUUAAAGCUUGAUAGAAGGUUCAUAUAGUAUGUAUUUGUAUGUAAAUUUUGAGAUAAGAAAUCUUGAUUUAGAAAUGUUAUAGAAUAGCAUAGACAUUGUUGAGAGAGAAAUGGAAUUAGAAUAAGUUAUAAAAGAUGGGCUUGUAAAUAAGACUACAUACUUGGGAGAAAUAGAACAAUGAAAUAUUUAUUGUAGUUGGACUUAUGAGGAGUAAUUUUAGAUAAUUUGUUUUAAAGUAUUUAUAACAUGGUGUGGUUGAAACUGAUAGGUUAAGAAACACUUAUGUAUUGUAAUUAGGAAAUAGUUUGCUUUUGAUUGUGAUGGCAUGAAUUA